CGUAGGGUGCGAGCGUUAAUCGGAAUUACUGGGCGUAAAGCGUGCGCAGGCGGUUUUGUAAGACAGAUGUGAAAUCCCCGGGCUCAACCUGGGACCUGCAUUUGUGACUGCAAGGCUAGAGUACGGUAGAGGGGGAUGGAAUUCCGCGUGUAGCAGUGAAAUGCGUAGAUAUGCGGAGGAACACCGAUGGCGAAGGCAAUCCCCUGGACCUGUACUGACGCUCAUGCACGAAAGCGUGGGGAGCAAACAGGAUUAGAUACCCUGGUAGUCCACGCCCUAAACGAUGUCAACUGGUUGUUGGGUCUUUACUGACUCAGUAACGAAGCUAACGCAUGAAGUUGACCGCCUGGGGAGUACGGCCGCAAGGUUG
Molecule: ribosomal RNA, 370 nt
Filed under: uncultured organism
Description: bacterial SSU rRNA
Rfam family: Bacterial small subunit ribosomal RNA
Source: RNAcentral